CAAAAUCACGAGUUGGUUAUGGAGAAGUCAGCAGAGGUCAUAGUACCUACAGGAAACGAGUUGAGGAAAGACCUCAGGCAGUCUCACAAGUAGGGAAGGAC
Tenacibaculum dicentrarchi is the source of this 101-nucleotide non-coding RNA. NCBI's taxonomy places the organism in Bacteria, Pseudomonadati, Bacteroidota, Flavobacteriia, Flavobacteriales, Flavobacteriaceae. The record is from Rfam.